This 76-nucleotide transfer RNA is filed under the name Acholeplasmataceae bacterium. Its description in RNAcentral is "tRNA-Thr". It matches the Rfam family "tRNA". From Rfam's summary of the family: Transfer RNA (tRNA) molecules are approximately 80 nucleotides in length. Their secondary structure includes four short double-helical elements and three loops (D, anti-codon, and T loops). Lineage: Bacteria; Bacillati; Mycoplasmatota; Mollicutes; Acholeplasmatales; Acholeplasmataceae. RNAcentral also lists the same sequence under 2 other names. The record is from RNAcentral.
GCUACUAUAGCUCAGCUGGUAGAGCAUCUCAUUCGUAAUGAGAGGGUCGUAGGUUCGAAUCCUAUUAGUAGCUCCA